CCAGCAGCAAGCUACCACAGAAAAAAAGCAUAUGUCCUCUUUCAAAAGAAAAAUCUGCCUUUUUACAGCUACAGAGAAUUGAAAGCAAACUUGAUCAUCAAAUGUGGAGUUGUGCCAAAUCACAGGCAGCCAGAAGAAAGCUCUGGCAUGAAGAAAGCUCUGAAGGUGAGAAGAAUGGAGAUGAAACAGCUUGGAAUGAGAAAAAGAGCAACGAGAUUCCUCCAGCCUGCAGGGGAAACUGUGCCACCCUGUCUCCUGCUUGGUCGCAGGCCUGUUUCUCCGAGAGCGCUGCUGCGAGCUCUGGCUCGUCCAGAACGACGCCUCUCUCCCACGAGGGACACUCGCUGUCAGCACCCUCCACUCCUACUGGGAGGGAAGCUGAGGAUGGAGAAGGCACAGCUGGCACAUGGUCUCCUGCAAAGAGCCUGUACUCACCAAGAAUGGACAACUUCAGGGACCACACAAAUUCAAGGAGGAGUCAAAUAGUACAAAUGGGAAAACCUCCCUGCUCUCUGCAUCACCCAUCCCAUUCCCCUGCAGGGAGCAGUCCGCUCUCUGCUGUGGCACCCGGCAGUGGGAGCAAUGAUCCUGUGCCCACGGCAGUGCUGCUUCCCACGUGCUGCCUUCCACCAGGCAGCAGGCCCAGCGAUUGCAAGCUGGAGGAGGCAUGGAAAAAAUCACCCAAGCAGAAAUUAGAGCAGCUCAAGGAGAGAAUCCGGGAGCAGAAGCAACACCAGCAAGCGGCAGCUCAGGAGCAGAAGUGCCUGAAUGCCACCUAUGCCAAGGAGCCACGGCAAAAGCGAAUGGUGCGCAAAGUUGUUUCUGCUCCUCCUGCUCCAGCUUACAGAGGUUUUAGUGCUGCGAGUCUGAGGUCUGCUCUUUUCUUGCCUGAUGAAGCGCGUGGAAUACCACAGAGAGAAGAAUUUAGCAUGCCUGGAGGACAGCGAGGUUAUAAAAAAGCCCUCAAGAUCCCAGAGCCUGGUAGAGGAUUGGUAGCAAUGCCAGCGAUGGAACAGAGCUAUAGAGAAAGGGGAAAUGAACCUCUGGGGAAAAGCCCUGAAUUCAAAAGCUGCAUGGUACCCCCCCGCACGCCUGUUGAAAGGGGCAGAAAUACACCAGGCGAGGAUACAAAGCAAAUACUCAGGAACCUACAUCUGCAAAGCAAACAUCAUGAUGAACACAGAAAUGCCAGGCUCCCAAAAGAUACUGCAAAAGGAAAGCUAGAAGAUCUGCAGCAGUGCAUAGGGAUCAAUUCUCCUUCACCUGGAGUUCAGGUCAUGACUCCCUCUGCCUUCAGUGGAGAAAAGACGAGAUCUUCAUUAAUGAGAGCUGAAACUGAGUACAGAAACUGCAGCAGAGGAAAUAGCACAUCUCCUCAAAGACAGAAAGGCUCAAGGAGCCCGGCACAGAAAGAGUCUGAAAAGGAAAAUCUUAAUCACCCUUCAAGGAGGAGGGCAAACAUGAAAAAACCUCACCC
RNAcentral lists this long non-coding RNA (1477 nucleotides) under Struthio camelus australis. RNAcentral's name for it is "lncRNA (ENSSCUG00000002299.1)". Lineage: Eukaryota; Metazoa; Chordata; Aves; Struthioniformes; Struthionidae. The record is from RNAcentral.